GCCACAUUCGUCUAGCUGGUCCAGGACACGACACUCUCACUGUCGAGAUCAGGGGUUCGAAUCCCCUAUGUGGUACCA
This 78-nucleotide transfer RNA is filed under the name Bacteroidales bacterium. RNAcentral describes it as "tRNA-Glu". It matches the Rfam family "tRNA". From Rfam's summary of the family: Transfer RNA (tRNA) molecules are approximately 80 nucleotides in length. The record is from RNAcentral. Lineage: Bacteria; Pseudomonadati; Bacteroidota; Bacteroidia; Bacteroidales.